CCUACGGGAGGCAGCAGUGGGGGAUAUUGCACAAUGGGGGGAACCCUGAUGCAGCGACGCCGCGUGGGUGAAGAAGCGCCUCGGCGCGUAAAGCCCUGUCAGCAGGGAAGAAAAUGACGGUACCUGAAGAAGAAGCCCCGGCUAACUACGUGCCAGCAGCCGCGGUAAUACGUAGGGGGCAAGCGUUACCCGGAUUUACUGGGUGUAAGGGGGGCGCAGACGGCGAUGCAAGCCAGGAGUGAAAGCCCGGGGCCCAACCCCGGGACUGCUCUUGGAAAUGCGUGGCUGGAGUGCAGGAGGGGCAGGCGGAAUUCCUGGGGUAGCGGUGAAAUGCGUAGAUAUCAGGAGGAACACCGGUGGCGAAGGCGGCCUGCUGGACUGCAACUGACGUUGAGGCCCGAAAGCGUGGGGAGCAAACAGGAUUAGAUACCCCGGUAGUC
This 440-nucleotide ribosomal RNA is filed under the name uncultured bacterium. RNAcentral describes it as "partial 16S ribosomal RNA". It matches the Rfam family "Bacterial small subunit ribosomal RNA", at positions 338 to 795 of the family's 1533-position model. The record is from RNAcentral.